CAGUGAAAUUGAACUCGCUGUGAAGAUGCAGUGUACCCGCGGCAAGACGGAAAGACCCCGUGAACCUUUACUAUAGCUUGACACUGAACAUUGAGCCUUGAUGUGUAGGAUAGGUGGGAGGCUUUGAAGUGUGGACGCCAGUCUGCAUGGAGCCGACCUUGAAAUACCACCCUUUAAUGUUUGAUGUUCUAACGUUGGCCCGUAAUCCGGGUUGCGGACAGUGUCUGGUGGGUAGUUUGACUGGGGCGGUCUCCUCCUAAAGAGUAACGGAGGAGCACGAAGGUUGGCUAAUCCUGGUCGGACAUCAGGAGGUUAGUGCAAUGGCAUAAGCCAGCUUGACUGCGAGCGUGACGGCGCGAGCAGGUGCGAAAGCAGGUCAUAGUGAUCCGGUGGUUCUGAAUGGAAGGGCCAUCGCUCAACGGAUAAAAGGUACUCCGGGGAUAACAGGCUGAUACCGCCCAAGAGUUCAUAUCGACGGCGGUGUUUGGCACCUCGAUGUCGGCUCAUCACAUCCUGGGGCUGAAGUAGGUCCCAAGGGUAUGGCUGUUCGCCAUUUAAAGUGGUACGCGAGCUGGGUUUAGAACGUCGUGAGACAGUUCGGUCCCUAUCUGCCGUGGGCGCUGGAGAACUGAGGGGGGCUGCUCCUAGUACGAGAGGACCGGAGUGGACGCAUCACUGGUGUUCGGGUUGUCAUGCCAAUGGCACUGCCCGGUAGCUAAAUGCGGAAGAGAUAAGUGCUGAAAGCAUCUAAGCACGAAACUUGCCCCGAGAUGAGUUCUCCCUGAGACUUAGAGUCUCCUGAAGGAACGUUGAAGACGACGACGUUGAUAGGCCGGGUGUGUAAGCGCAGCGAUGCGUUGAGCUAACCGGUACUAAUGAACCGUGAGGCUUAACCUU
RNAcentral lists this ribosomal RNA (897 nucleotides) under Escherichia coli. RNAcentral describes it as "partial 23S ribosomal RNA". It matches the Rfam family "Bacterial large subunit ribosomal RNA", at positions 2034 to 2925 of the family's 2925-position model. Lineage: Bacteria; Pseudomonadati; Pseudomonadota; Gammaproteobacteria; Enterobacterales; Enterobacteriaceae. The record is from RNAcentral.